This is a ribosomal RNA of 208 nucleotides. It matches the Rfam family "Bacterial small subunit ribosomal RNA", at positions 568 to 775 of the family's 1533-position model.
CGUGUAGGCGGUUUUGCAAGUCAGAUGUGAAAUUCCCAGGCUUAACCUGGGCGCUGCAUCUGAAACUGCAAGACUUGAGUACUGGAGAGGAUAGUGGAAUUCCUAGUGUAGCGGUAAAAUGCGCAGAUAUUAGGAGGAACACCGGUGGCGAAGGCGACUAUCUGGACAGUAACUGACGCUGAGGCGCGGAAGCGUGGGGAGCAAACAG